CAGAAAGUAGUUUAUUUAAAAAUUUUAAUUUUGGAGAUUAAGGAAAAGAUAUAAUUUCUUUUUUCUGA
RNAcentral lists this transfer RNA (68 nucleotides) under Catara rugosicollis. RNAcentral describes it as "tRNA-Pro". The record is from RNAcentral. Lineage: Eukaryota; Metazoa; Arthropoda; Insecta; Blattodea; Blattidae.